GACGAACGCUGGCAGCGUGCCUAAUACAUGCAAGUAGAACGCUGAAGGGGGAGCUUGCUUCUCUGGAUGAGUUGCGAACGGGUGAGUAACGCGUAGGUAACCUGCCUGGUAGCGGGGGAUAACUAUUGGAAACGAUAGCUAAUACCGCAUAAUAGUAGAUGUUGCAUGACAUUUGCUUAAAAGGUGCAAUUGCAUCACUACCAGAUGGACCUGCGUUGUAUUAGCUAGUUGGUGAGGUAACGGCUCACCAAGGCAACGAUACAUAGCCGACCUGAGAGGGUGAUCGGCCACACUGGGACUGAGACACGGCCCAGACUCCUACGGGAGGCAGCAGUAGGGAAUCUUCGGCAAUGGACGGAAGUCUGACCGAGCAACGCCGCGUGAGUGAAGAAGGUUUUCGGAUCGUAAAGCUCUGUUGUAAGAGAAGAACGAGUGUGAGAGUGGAAAGUUCACACUGUGACGGUAUCUUACCAGAAAGGGACGGCUAACUACGUG
Molecule: ribosomal RNA, 495 nt
Filed under: uncultured bacterium
Lineage: Bacteria
Description: partial 16S ribosomal RNA
Rfam family: Bacterial small subunit ribosomal RNA
Source: RNAcentral